UCUCUGGUAGUAUAUCGGUUAGUACACGUGCCUGUCAUAAAAAGACCGCAGUUUCAUGUGCGCGCGAAAGCUGGGUUCGACUCCCAGCCAGAGAG
Non-coding RNA from Armillaria mellea, 95 nucleotides. Lineage: Eukaryota; Fungi; Basidiomycota; Agaricomycetes; Agaricales; Physalacriaceae. The record is from the annotation of a GenBank genome assembly.